Molecule: ribosomal RNA, 453 nt
Filed under: Streptococcus intermedius
Lineage: Bacteria; Bacillati; Bacillota; Bacilli; Lactobacillales; Streptococcaceae
Description: bacterial SSU rRNA
Rfam family: Bacterial small subunit ribosomal RNA
Source: RNAcentral
GACGAACGCUGGCGGCGUGCCUAAUACAUGCAAGUAGAACGCAUAGGAUGCACCGUAGUUUACUACACCGUAUUCUGUGAGUUGCGAACGGGUGAGUAACGCGUACGUAACCUGCCUGGUAGCGGGGGAUAACUAUUGGAAACGAUAGCUAAUACCGCAUAAGAACAUUUACUGCAUGGUAGAUGUUUAAAAGGUGCAAAUGCAUCACUACCAGAUGGACCUGCGUUGUAUUAGCUAGUAGGUGAGGUAACGGCUCACCUAGGCGACGAUACAUAGCCGACCUGAGAGGGUGAUCGGCCACACUGGGACUGAGACACGGCCCAGACUCCUACGGGAGGCAGCAGUAGGGAAUCUUCGGCAAUGGGGGGAACCCUGACCGAGCAACGCCGCGUGAGUGAAGAAGGUUUUCGGAUCGUAAAGCUCUGUUGUUAAGGAAGAACGAGUGUGAGAAUG